RNAcentral lists this ribosomal RNA (678 nucleotides) under uncultured Actinomycetes bacterium. Its description in RNAcentral is "bacterial SSU rRNA". It matches the Rfam family "Bacterial small subunit ribosomal RNA", at positions 170 to 860 of the family's 1533-position model. Lineage: Bacteria; Bacillati; Actinomycetota; Actinomycetes. The record is from RNAcentral.
GGGAUACGACGCCUUGGGGCAUCCCACGGGCGUGGAAAGAAUUUCGGUCAAGGAUGAGCUCGCGGCCUAUCAGCUAGUUGGUGAGGUAAUGGCUCACCAAGGCGACGACGGGUAGCCGGCCUGAGAGGGUGACCGGCCACACUGGGACUGAGACACGGCCCAGACUCCUACGGGAGGCAGCAGUGGGGAAUAUUGCGCAAUGGGCGAAAGCCUGACGCAGCAACGCCGCGUGAGGGAUGAAGGCCUUCGGGUUGUAAACCUCUUUUAGCAGGGAAGAAGCGAAAGUGACGGUACCUGCAGAAAAAGCACCGGCUAACUACGUGCCAGCAGCCGCGGUAAUACGUAGGGUGCAAGCGUUAUCCGGAAUUAUUGGGCGUAAAGAGCUCGUAGGCGGUUUGUCGCGUCUGCUGUGAAAAUCUGAGGCUCAACCUCGGACUUGCAGUGGGUACGGGCAGACUAGAGUGCGGUAGGGGAGAAGGGAAUUCCUGGUGUAGCGGUGGAAUGCGCAGAUAUCAGGAGGAACACCAAUGGCGAAGGCACUUCUCUGGGCCGUAACUGACGCUGAGGAGCGAAAGCGUGGGGAGCGAACAGGAUUAGAUACCCUGGUAGUCCACGCCGUAAACGUUGGGCGCUAGAUGUGGGUCACAUUCCACGUGAUCCGUGUCGCAGCUAACGCAU